RNAcentral lists this non-coding RNA (1389 nucleotides) under Pan troglodytes (chimpanzee). The record is from RNAcentral. Lineage: Eukaryota; Metazoa; Chordata; Mammalia; Primates; Hominidae.
GACAAGGAAACUAGGAGUAGGAGAAGCUACACAUUUUGCCCAAAGCCUCCCAUUAUAUAAGCUUCAGAGUCAGAAUUGGAACCCAGGCCUGUUGGCCCAAAUCCCACGUUCCUUCGACUGUACUGCACUGAGGCUGGGGUGGGCACUUCUCUAGCCUCUUCCUCUUUCUUUCUGGAGGGAAUGCGGUAGGGAGCUGUAGAUCAGCUAAUCUCAUCCCUUUGGGGUUCUGGUGAGUAUAAGCUCCAGGGAGUUUGGGAGGGCUUGGCAGUAGUGGAUUCCUCUUCCCACACCCACCCUGCCUCCUGGGAAACCGGAGCUCAGCCCCUAGGACCUGGGGUGUCACAUUCUUCCCCAUGCUCCUCCUUAGGAACCUUAUCCAGCUUUCAUCCUCAGACCCUAGUGUCCCACCCUAGGCUCUGUCUGCCCUGGUGCCCUGUGCUCCCCUGCCCUUUCCACUCUGAUUCAGAGUGACUCAGAGUACUGGUCUGGGAGUCCAAUAGAUGAUUCUAAUCCUUGCUCUACCACUUAGCUGGCUAAGAGAUCUUAGCUCCUAAAUAUGUUGGUGUUCUCACCUAUAAAAUGGGUAUAAAUGCACCUGCCUCAUAAAGGAGCUUAUUAAAUUACGUAACAAAUGCAAAACAUUUAGCAGAGUUCCUGGCUCCUAAUGGGUUCUUAGUAGAUGGCACCUCUUGUGGUGAGGAUUACUGCCUAGCCUACUUUGUUGUUGUUGUUGAUUUUGAGACAGAGUCUCGCUGUUGUCGCCCAGGCUGGAGUGCAAUGGUGUGAUCUCACCUCACUGCAACCUCCACCUCCCAGGUUCAAGCGAUUCUCCUGCCUCAGCCUCUCAAGUAGCUGGGAUUACAGGUGCCCCCCCCCAACCCCACACCUGGCUAAUUUUUGUAUUUUUGGAAGGGGUGGGAUUUCACUCUGUUGGCCAGGCUGGUCUCAAACUCCUAACCUCAGGUGAUCCAGCCUCCUCAGCCUCCCAAAGUGCUAAGAUUACAGGCGUGAGCCACAGCGCCCAGCCAGCCUACUUUGGUCUUUUCUUGGACUGACCCCAGAUUUAGGACAUCUCCCUUCUUUAACUCUUCCUUUCCCAUGAUUUGUUCCUAAAGAUGGUGGUUUAAGGCCGCCUUCUUCAGGAAGCCCUCCUGGGAUUAACCCAGCCCAUUUUUCCCAUCUCUCAUCCUUCCCCCUUGCUUACUAUCUUUUCAUUUCCUUUUAGCACAUGAUUGUUGAGCCAGAUAUAUUCACAAAUAACAAUAAUAAAGGCAGAUGGUGAUACAGAAGAAUGUGAGCACAGAGGAAGGAGCAAAGAAAUCGGCAAUCAAGGAAGGCUUUGGAGAAGAGAUAGCAUUUGGUCUAGUCUUAGAUGAUAAGUAAGCUCUU